UACGGAGGGGGCUAGCGUUGUUCGGAAUUACUGGGCGUAAAGCGAGUGUAGGUGGUUGUCGUAGUCAGGCGUGAAAGCCUUGAGCUCAACUCAAGAAAUGCGCUUGAUACUGGGCAGCUAGAGGACCGGAGAGGAUAGUGGAAUUCCCAGUGUAGUGGUGAAAUACGUAGAGAUUGGGAAGAACACCAGUGGCGAAGGCGGCUAUCUGGACGGUUUCUGACACUAAGACUCGAAAGCGUGGGGAGCAAACAGG
This 253-nucleotide ribosomal RNA is filed under the name uncultured bacterium. RNAcentral's name for it is "partial 16S ribosomal RNA". It matches the Rfam family "Bacterial small subunit ribosomal RNA", at positions 524 to 776 of the family's 1533-position model. The record is from RNAcentral.